GGGAGCCUUGUUUCCCCAGCUGAGCCACCAGCUGGUUAGUGCCCAGGCUGGGCCUCCGUCUACUGCCUCCCCCGGCAGGCCAUCCUCACUCCCUUGCUGAGACUGAAGAAGGGAGAGGCACAGGCAGAGCACUGGAUGGUUUAUGCAACCAUCACAGUCGGGACUCCACUGGUACCUCAUGAGCCUCUCCAGUAGCUGAGAUUACAGAAGAGUGCCAUCACGGCCAGUUCAUUUGCUAGGAGCCAGGACCACAAGCUGGGUCACACAGAGACAGAAGAACCAAACUCCAUGGCAGCGCUGCAGGGCGGGGAGCUCCAGGCACCAAGAAUAUCUGCAGACAGAGAGAGCCAGCCAAUCUUCAGUGGCAGCAGGGGAUGGGCAGGGGCUGGAGGAGCCCAAGAAGCAGCCCACGGAGGAGAGCUCAAAUCCCAGCCCCUGCCUGAGCCUCAAGGCCUCUCAGUCUGUACCCCCAGGCCGCCUCUCUACCUGCCAGGCCCAGCAACAAGGCAGAGCUGCAGGCAGGUAGGAAUCCCCUGGGAUCUGUCACACUCAUGCCUCUGGCGCAGAUCUGGGGCAGCCCUGGAACCCCAAUUCCUAGCAAGCAUCCAGGUAAGGCUCUAGGCAAAGCUCUUAAGGGGCCAGCAGCCCUGAGCUCCAGCUUGCCAAAGAGCCAGCGUCACACCACAUAGGAGAGACAGAAAUCUUUUCAAAAGUGGUCCCAGAGGGUGGGAGGUGGAGGUCAGAGAGGAGAGAGCCUGGGGACAAUAGUGAAUAGAGUUGGGAUUAUUUCCUGAACUCUGACUCCUCGUGGGAACGAGGUUAUGAAAAGCUUCUCUUAAAAUGGUUAUUAUUUA
Non-coding RNA from Heterocephalus glaber (naked mole-rat), 854 nucleotides. The record is from RefSeq and is a predicted model, not a curated record. Lineage: Eukaryota; Metazoa; Chordata; Mammalia; Rodentia; Bathyergidae.